UGGCGCCUACGGGGCGCAGCAGUGGGGAAUAUUGCACAAUGGGGGAAACCCUGAUGCAGCAACGCCGCGUGAGUGAAGAAGUAUUUCGGUAUGUAAAGCUCUAUCAGCAGGGAAGAAGAAAGACGGUACCUGACUAAGAAGCCCCGGCUAACUACGUGCCAGCAGCCGCGGUAAUACGUAGGGGGCAAGCGUUAUCCGGAUUUACUGGGUGUAAAGGGAGCGUAGACGGGAAAUUAAGUUAGUUGUGAAAUCCCUCGGCUUAACUGAGGAACUGCAACUAAAACUGAUUUUCUUGAGUGUUGGAG
RNAcentral lists this ribosomal RNA (305 nucleotides) under uncultured bacterium. RNAcentral's name for it is "bacterial SSU rRNA". It matches the Rfam family "Bacterial small subunit ribosomal RNA", at positions 333 to 654 of the family's 1533-position model. The record is from RNAcentral.